Onychomys torridus (southern grasshopper mouse) is the source of this 169-nucleotide small nucleolar RNA. RefSeq annotates it as small nucleolar RNA SNORD97. The record is from RefSeq and is a predicted model, not a curated record. Lineage: Eukaryota; Metazoa; Chordata; Mammalia; Rodentia; Cricetidae. The transcript has a single exon.
UUGCCCGAUGAUUAUAAAAAGACGCGAAAGAGGACUUAAGCUGGAUUCUUUCCUUUUUUCUCUUCUCUUUCUUUGACUCUUUAUCUACCUUUCCCCUUCUUGUUCUCUACUUUUUCUCUCUUUGGAUGUCCAGCGUCCUAUGAGCGAAGAUUAUGAGAUAUGAGGGCAA